ACUGGAGUCUGCAACCCGACUCCACGAAGCUGGAUUCGCUAGUAAUCGCGCAUCAGCCACGGCGCGGUGAAUACGUUCCCGGGCCUUGUACACACCGCCCGUCAAGCCAUGGGAGCCGGGGGUACCUGAAGUGCGUAACCGCGAGGAUCGCCCUAGGGUAAAACUGGUGACUGGGGCUAAGUCGUAACAAGGUAAC
This 196-nucleotide ribosomal RNA is filed under the name uncultured bacterium. RNAcentral describes it as "partial 16S ribosomal RNA". It matches the Rfam family "Bacterial small subunit ribosomal RNA", at positions 1297 to 1500 of the family's 1533-position model. The record is from RNAcentral.